AUGAUUGACGGCGGAGCACGUUUUGAGAGAAAAUGUGUCCUCUUUGAACAUAUGGGGAUGCUCUGUCGUACCCACAUGUACUAUUCUCUCUGCAAACUAAUUGGUUUUGGCUGGCUAACCAACGUAAGGUGUACUUGCAGGUCAUGGAUAAUAUUGGAUGACAGAAAAUACAAAGAGACACGUAGUGAAAAGGCGGACAAAAUAUCCAAGAGAUAUUUUGCCGGAUCACUUGAAGCACUACCGGCUGGACCAGAUCAACAACACAUCCCUAACUUUUUGGCACAAUCGAAUGUACAUUAG
RNAcentral lists this ribosomal RNA (300 nucleotides) under Triticum aestivum (bread wheat). RNAcentral describes it as "partial small subunit ribosomal RNA". Lineage: Eukaryota; Viridiplantae; Streptophyta; Magnoliopsida; Poales; Poaceae. The record is from RNAcentral.